CCUACGGGGGGCUGCAGUGGGGAAUAUUGGACAAUGGGCGAAAGCCUGAUCCAGCCAUGCCGCGUGUGUGAAGAAGGCCUUCGGGUUGUAAAGCACUUUCAGUGGGGAGGAAAGCCUUGUGGCUAAUACCCUCGAGGAAGGACAUCACCCACAGAAGAAGCACCGGCUAACUCCGUGCCAGCAGCCGCGGUAAUACGGAGGGUGCGAGCGUUAAUCGGAAUUACUGGGCGUAAAGCGCGCGUAGGCGGUCUGAUAAGCCGGUUGUGAAAGCCCCGGGCUCAACCUGGGAACGGCAUCCGGAACUGUCAGGCUAGAGUGCAGGAGAGGAAGGUAGAAUUCCCGGUGUAGCGGUGAAAUGCGUAGAGAUCGGGAGGAAUACCAGUGGCGAAGGCGGCCUUCUGGACUGACACUGACGCUGAGGUGCGAAAGCGUGGGUAGCAAACAGGAUUAGAUACCCUUGUAGUC
This 465-nucleotide ribosomal RNA is filed under the name Vreelandella stevensii. Its description in RNAcentral is "partial 16S ribosomal RNA". It matches the Rfam family "Bacterial small subunit ribosomal RNA", at positions 338 to 795 of the family's 1533-position model. The record is from RNAcentral. Lineage: Bacteria; Pseudomonadati; Pseudomonadota; Gammaproteobacteria; Oceanospirillales; Halomonadaceae.